This 364-nucleotide transfer-messenger RNA is filed under the name Cronobacter sakazakii. RNAcentral's name for it is "Standard tmRNA". It matches the Rfam family "transfer-messenger RNA". Rfam says of the family: Bacterial tmRNA, also known as 10Sa RNA or SsrA, is named for its dual tRNA and mRNA-like properties. RNAcentral also lists the same sequence under 12 other names. Lineage: Bacteria; Pseudomonadati; Pseudomonadota; Gammaproteobacteria; Enterobacterales; Enterobacteriaceae. The record is from RNAcentral.
GGGGCUGAUUCUGGAUUCGACGGGAUUCGCGAAACCCAAGGUGCAUGCCGAGGGGCGGUUGGCCUCGUAAAAAGCCGCAAAAAAAUAGUCGCAAACGACGAAAACUACGCUUUAGCAGCUUAAUAACCUGCUUAGAGCCCUCUCUCCCUAGCCUCCGCUCUUAGGACGGGGAUCAAGAGAGGUCAAACCCAAAAGAGAUCGCGUGGAUGCCCUGCCUGGGGUUGAAGCGUUAAAACUAAUCAGGCUAGUCUGGUAGUGGCGUGUCCGUCCGCAGCUGCCAGGCGAAUGUAAAGACUGGACUAAGCAUGUAGUACCGAGGAUGUAGGAAUUUCGGACGCGGGUUCAACUCCCGCCAGCUCCACCA